Molecule: ribosomal RNA, 460 nt
Filed under: uncultured bacterium
Lineage: Bacteria
Description: SSU rRNA
Rfam family: Bacterial small subunit ribosomal RNA
Source: RNAcentral
AGAACGAACGCUGGCGGCAGGCUUAACACAUGCAAGUCGAGCGCCUCGGCAACGGGGAGCGGCAGACGGGUGAGUAACGCGUGGGAACAUACCCUCCGGUUCGGAAUAACUCAGGGAAACUUGAGCUAAUACCGGAUACGGCAACCAAGAGAGAUUUUGGCGGCGAAAGAUUUAUCGCCGGAGGAUUGGCCCGCGUCCGAUUAGCUAGUUGGUGUGGUAAUGGCGCACCAAGGCGACGAUCGGUAGCUGGUCUGAGAGGAUGAUCAGCCACAUUGGGACUGAGACACGGCCCAAACUCCUACGGGAGGCAGCAGUGGGGAAUAUUGGACAAUGGGCGCAAGCCUGAUCCAGCCAUGCCGCGUGAGUGAUGAAGGCCCUAGGGUUGUAAAGCUCUUUUGUGCGGGAAGAUAAUGACGGUACCGCAAGAAUAAGCCCCGGCUAACUUCGUGCCAGCAGCCGC